GACGAACGCUGGCGGCGUGCCUAACACAUGCAAGUCGAACGGAACUGUUUUGAAAGAUUUCUUCGGAAUGAAUUUGAUUUAGUUUAGUGGCGGACGGGUGAGUAACGCGUGAGUAACCUGCCUUCAAGAGGGGAAUAACAUUCUGAAAAGAAUGCUAAUACCGCAUGACAUAUCGGAACCACAUGGUUUUGAUAUCAAAGAUUUUAUCGCUUGAAGAUGGACUCGCGUCCGAUUAGUUAGUUGGUGAGGUAACGGCUCACCAAGACCGCGAUCGGUAGCCGGACUGAGAGGUUGAACGGCCACAUUGGGACUGAGACACGGCCCAGACUCCUACGGGAGGCAGCAGUGGGGGAUAUUGCGCAAUGGGGGCAACCCUGACGCAGCAACGCCGCGUGAAGGAUGAAGGUUUUCGGAUUGUAAACUUCUUUUAUUAAGGACGAAAAAUGACGGUACUUAGUGAAUAAGCUCCGGCUAACUACGUG
Molecule: ribosomal RNA, 482 nt
Filed under: uncultured bacterium
Lineage: Bacteria
Description: partial 16S ribosomal RNA
Rfam family: Bacterial small subunit ribosomal RNA
Source: RNAcentral